This is a small nuclear RNA of Pan paniscus (pygmy chimpanzee), 164 nucleotides long. Its record names the gene U1. It matches the Rfam family "U1 spliceosomal RNA". Rfam says of the family: U1 is a small nuclear RNA (snRNA) component of the spliceosome (involved in pre-mRNA splicing). The record is from Ensembl. Lineage: Eukaryota; Metazoa; Chordata; Mammalia; Primates; Hominidae.
AUACUUACCUGGCAGGGGAGAUACCAUGAUCACGAAGGUGGUUUCCCCAGGGCGAGGCUUAUCCAUUGCACUCCGGAUGUGCUGACCCCUGCGAUUUCCCCAAACGUGGGAAACUCGACUGCAUAAUUUGUGGUAGUGGGGGACUGCGUCCGCGCUUUCCCCUG